This 2553-nucleotide long non-coding RNA is filed under the name Mus musculus (house mouse). RNAcentral describes it as "long non-coding RNA chr15:92166070-92168623". Lineage: Eukaryota; Metazoa; Chordata; Mammalia; Rodentia; Muridae. The record is from RNAcentral.
AAAAGGUUGUCUCUAAUCAUUGUAUACAGAAUUCUGGACAAUGAACCUUGCAUAAUUAACAGAUUGGAACACACAGAAAGUAAGGCUUCAAAGAAUAGUAUUAAAACAUUAGGUUUUAUGAAGUGGAGUCAUUCUAUUGUUCAAGACCCUGUCAUUGAAUAAUGUUGGACAUGGCUCAGAAUUUUAUGAUGUAGAAGAAUUCAAAUGCCAAAUGUGCAUUUGAUCUUUUAAGAGGGUGAAUAGUAAGUUGUUAUUGUGAUUGCGCUGGCCCUUUAAGAAAUGAGUGUUUGGUAAGUUUAUGUGUAACACUUGCCAUGAUUUUGGUUAUGAAUAGGUCGCAAAGAUGUUCCUCGUGCUGGCAGAUGGAAGGGCAGCAAGAUAGGUGGCUGGGAGGAAAGCCGGAGGCGGAGUUGUGCUAGAAAGAACAUAGCAAAUUCAACAGAUGGAGGAUGAUAGAUCAGUUGGCAAAAAGAGGUGCUACAGGAGAACAGGGGAAGCUAGUGAAGACAUGGAUGGAUAGACAGCCAGGAGUGGGCUAAAUGAACCAGUAAUAAAAGAAAUAGAGCAGUACAGGGGCCCCAAAGUUCAAGAACAAAUAGAUAAAUAUCAAAGACGACAACUACAAAAUUCCUCUGUAUCUGAGCUUGGGAAAAUAUCUUCCUUUAAAAUGUCUUUUAUUAUAAUCUUUCAAAAAUGCUUUAAAUGAACAAAGAUCUCAUAUACGGAAAAUCUUUAUUGUAAAACUUAGAGAUUCAUACUAUGGAGGAAAUUUAUUCUGUAAAAAAAUGAUCAUGGAUGUAAAGUUAAUCUUAUUCCUUAGUUUUGUGUUUUCUGCAAAUUUGGAUUUUUGACAGCUUUUAUUAUGUAAAUAUGUCAGGACCUGGCUGGAAAAUAAUGCUGAGGUAUAUGGUCCACAGGGAUGAGAAGUUUGAUUUCUUUCAAAAGAGUAGUAUAAAAGAAUGGAAAAUGGAAAUACAGCAUUAUCCUUACAAAAUGUCCUGUUUUCUCUGCUUACCAGGAGUGACAAUAGCUAUGUGCUCAUUAACCUUAAGUAAGUAAAUAUGUUGUUUGUCCUGUUUUUGCCUUCAGCCUCAACUUCCCAUAUAACCACCAUUUUUCUUAGGAAAUAGUCUUACAUGAAAACCCUUAGACAGUUAAGUAACAUAACCAAGUUCCCUUUGAUUAAUAACUGUUACUAUAGAUUAAUAUAUAAAUGACAGGCUCACUAAUAUAUGCAGAAAGAGGGUUGGCUUAAUAUACCCAUUAUAACUGACCUUUAAAUACCUGCAUGGGUUGCAAAGCUACUCCCAUUGCCCCCAUAUACAUGAAUGUAGCACGAGCACUUUUGAUAUAUAAAAACUGGAGCCAAUCUCUGAAGCAAAGGAACACUUUAUGGAAAACUCCACAGGCACUAUGGCAGACAUGAUGGUAGGCACUAUGGCAGACAUGAUGGUAGGCACUAUGGCAGACAUGAUGGUAGGCACUAUGGCAGGCAUUAUUGAAGACAGACACUAUGGUAGGUCCCCAGGGUAAAUAAAGGCAGAGAAACAAUCAGUUCACUCAGAGUCCUGGGAGAGAGUCAUUGUUCUUCAGUGUCUCAGGUACAAUUAUGAAAUGCAAUGGUCUUGUCUAUCUUUGUGAGUCCUUUACUUACGUGUGCCUGUGUGCUUGUGUGUGUGGAUAUGUGCGGGUGCAUCCAUGUGCAUGUGUGUCCCUAUGCAUGUGUGUGUGCAUGUGUGUCUGUGUGUGUGUGUGUGUCCGUGUGUGUGCCUGUGAGCACACAUAGGUGUGUGAAUGCAGGCACCCAUGUGCAAAUAGAAGUUAGAAGUUAAUUCUUAGGAGUAGAAUGUUCCUUUUACCAUGAGUUCCAGGGGCUGAACUUGGCUUGUCUUGCACAAAAAACACUUUUAGUCUCUGAGCCAUCUUGUUGACUAAAAGAUGUGGGACAGAAGGGCCCCAAACUCCUAUUUUCUGCUUCUAUGCCCUAUCAACACGUGCCACCAUGAAUCUUUUUUAGAUUAAGGACCUCACUAGAUUCCUCACUCAGAAAGUACUUAUUAGGAACUUCCUUGUUCAGUUGCUCUGUAGACAGAAGUAUUUCACUGUUUUCAUUGACAAAAUGGGUCAACUGAAAUGGGAAAAAAAGCAAAGAAAAUUUACUAGACAACUGCAGCUCUCAGAAAGACAUAGAGUCUCCAGCAUAGUGACUAUACAAUUGCUGUGACUACCAUUAGUAAUCAGCCAAGAAAGCUUUUUUCAAUAUGAAGAUUAAAAGGUGGGUAAGAGAGAUUAUUCAUUAUAGUUCAUGAAUUAACAAUUCACACUUCAGAGCCAUGUAUUCAAUGAACACAACUUGCAAGUAGCAAUGGCAUGUUCUGGGCUCAGCACUAAGAUACUACAGGUUCUCUCCUAGAUCCAUGUAACUCUUCUAAAUUCCUUUGACAGUUUUGAGACACCUUCAACUGACCAUGUAUGAAUCUACCCAUGAUAUUCUGCAUCCUUUUAACUCAAAGGUUUACCUUUCUUUCAUUAAACCAACUGUCCCCCCCCCCC